Molecule: non-coding RNA, 126 nt
Organism: Diatrype stigma
Lineage: Eukaryota; Fungi; Ascomycota; Sordariomycetes; Xylariales; Diatrypaceae
Source: the annotation of a GenBank genome assembly
GCCCGGUUAGCUCAAGUAGGAACCCUCAUCUCUCGCUUCCAUCAAGCAAAUGACUAACCAAGCAACAGUCGGUAGAGCGCAAGACUCUUAAUCUUGAGGUUGCGGGUUCGACCCCCGCAUCGGGCU